Molecule: ribosomal RNA, 756 nt
Filed under: uncultured bacterium
Lineage: Bacteria
Description: bacterial SSU rRNA
Rfam family: Bacterial small subunit ribosomal RNA
Source: RNAcentral
AGAGUUUGAUCCUGGCUCAGAAUCAACGCUGGCGGCGCGCUUAACACAUGCAAGUCGCACGAGAAAGUGGAGCAAUCCAUGAGUAAAGUGGCGUACGGGUGAGUAACACGUGGGUAAUCUACCUCUUAGUGGGGAAUAACCCUGGGAAACCGGGGCUAAUACCGCAUAAGCUCGAGAGAGGAAAGCAGCAAUGCGCUGAGAGAGGAGCCCGCGGCCGAUUAGCUAGUUGGUAGGGUAAGAGCCUACCAAGGCAGAGAUCGGUAGCCGGCCUGAGAGGGCACACGGCCACACUGGCACUGAAACACGGGCCAGACUCCUACGGGAGGCAGCAGUGGGGAAUCUUGCACAAUGGGGGAAACCCUGAUGCAGCGACGCCGCGUGAGCGAUGAAGCCCUUCGGGGUGUAAAGCUCUUUCGGCAGGGAAGAUUAUGACGGUACCUGCAGAAGCAGCUGCGGCUAACUACGUGCCAGCAGCCGCGGUAAUACGUAGGCAGCGAGCGUUGUUCGGAGUUACUGGGCGUAAAGGGUGUGUAGGCGGUUCUUUAAGUUUGGUGUGAAAUCUCCCGGCUCAACCGGGAGGGUGCGCCGAAUACUGAGGGACUAGAGUGCGGGAGAGGAAAGUGGAAUUCCUGGUGUAGCGGUGAAAUGCGUAGAUAUCAGGAGGAACACCGGUGGUGUAGACGGCUUUCUGGACCGUAACUGACGCUGAGACACGAAAGCGUGGGUAGCAAACAGGAUUAGAUACCCUAGUAGUCC